UGCAGUCGAGCGGACAGAAGGGAGCUUGCUCCCGGAUGUUAGCGGCGGACGGGUGAGUAACACGUGGGUAACCUGCCUGUAAGACUGGGAUAACUCCGGGAAACCGGAGCUAAUACCGGAUAGUUCCUUGAACCGCAUGGUUCAAGGAUGAAAGACGGUUUCGGCUGUCACUUACAGAUGGACCCGCGGCGCAUUAGCUAGUUGGUGAGGUAACGGCUCACCAAGGCGACGAUGCGUAGCCGACCUGAGAGGGUGAUCGGCCACACUGGGACUGAGACACGGCCCAGACUCCUACGGGAGGCAGCAGUAGGGAAUCUUCCGCAAUGGACGAAAGUCUGACGGAGCAACGCCGCGUGAGUGAUGAAGGUUUUCGGAUCGUAAAGCUCUGUUGUUAGGGAAGAACAAGUGCAAGAGUAACUGCUUGCACCUUGACGGUACCUAACCAGAAAGCCACGGCUAACUACGUGCCAGCAGCCGCGGUAAUACGUAGGUGGCAAGCGUUGUCCGGAAUUAUUGGGCGUAAAGGGCUCGCAGGCGGUUUCUUAAGUCUGAUGUGAAAGCCCCCGGCUCAACCGGGGAGGGUCAUUGGAAACUGGGAAACUUGAGUGCAGAAGAGGAGAGUGGAAUUCCACGUGUAGCGGUGAAAUGCGUAGAGAUGUGGAGGAACACCAGUGGCGAAGGCGACUCUCUGGUCUGUAACUGACGCUGAGGAGCGAAAGCGUGGGGAGCGAACAGGAUUAGAUACCCUGGUAGUCCACGCCGUAACGAUGAGUGCUAAGUGUUAGGGGGUUUCCGCCCCUUAGUGCUGCAGCUAACGC
RNAcentral lists this ribosomal RNA (818 nucleotides) under Bacillus sp. (in: firmicutes). Its description in RNAcentral is "bacterial SSU rRNA". It matches the Rfam family "Bacterial small subunit ribosomal RNA", at positions 56 to 858 of the family's 1533-position model. Lineage: Bacteria; Bacillati; Bacillota; Bacilli; Caryophanales; Bacillaceae. The record is from RNAcentral.